UUCUUAUACACUCUUUAUAAGUAACACCUGCUCAAUGAGAUUUUAAAAGCCGCAGAAUACUUACUGUGCUAAGGUAGCAUAAUCAUUAGCCUCUUAAUUAGAGGCUCGUAUGAAAGGUGAAACAUUUCACUUACUUUAUUCUCUAAUUUUUUCUAAAUUAAACUAGGAAUUAAAAUGUUUCUAUAAUUAUAUUAGACGACAAGACCCUUUUGAACUUUACUUCAGUUCGGCUGGGGCAGCCGAACAAAAAUGAUCUUUCUUCAACCCUAUUCAUAAAAGACCCAACAAAAUUGAUUAAAUGAACAAGUUACCAUAGGGAUAACAGCGUAAUAACUUUUUAAAGCUCUUAUUUAAAACGAAGAUUGCGACCUCGAUGUUGAAUUAGUGUGACUUUAUUGGUGCAGUAACUAUUAAAAGUGGGUCUGUUCGACCCUUAAUACACUACAU
RNAcentral lists this ribosomal RNA (447 nucleotides) under Alpaida delicata. Its description in RNAcentral is "partial 16S large subunit ribosomal RNA". It matches the Rfam family "Bacterial large subunit ribosomal RNA", at positions 1831 to 2601 of the family's 2925-position model. The record is from RNAcentral. Lineage: Eukaryota; Metazoa; Arthropoda; Arachnida; Araneae; Araneidae.